GGGCACAUUUAUUUGUUUAUUUUAGUGCUUCUAUAUACAAUAAUAGUUCUCUUCUUUUUUUUUAAAGAACUUGCUAGCUGCUGAGAUGACAAAGUAUAUUGUUUUUGAUGCGAAUUUGCUGAAACUAUUUAAUGGAUGCAAAAAGUGGAAACCACUCUCGGCGUUUCUUUUUCUUUUCUUUUUAUGGCUGCCGGCCACUAUGUUAAGGAUUACAAGUGUUAGUGGACAGUUACUUUCCAACUCUUUAUUGACUGACUUCCAAGAAAGUCGUGAA
Molecule: long non-coding RNA, 274 nt
Filed under: Mytilus galloprovincialis (Mediterranean mussel)
Lineage: Eukaryota; Metazoa; Mollusca; Bivalvia; Mytilida; Mytilidae
Source: RNAcentral